This 328-nucleotide ribosomal RNA is filed under the name Dothideomycetes sp. genotype 684 JMUR-2016. RNAcentral describes it as "eukaryotic LSU rRNA". It matches the Rfam family "Eukaryotic large subunit ribosomal RNA", at positions 269 to 602 of the family's 3401-position model. Lineage: Eukaryota; Fungi; Ascomycota; Dothideomycetes. The record is from RNAcentral.
GUUGUUUGGGAAUGCAGCUCUAAAUGGGAGGUAAAUUCCUUCUAAAGCUAAAUACUGGCCAGAGACCGAUAGCGCACAAGUAGAGUGAUCGAAAGAUGAAAAGCACUUUGGAAAGAGAGUGAAACAGCACGUGAAAUUGUUGAAAGGGAAGCGCUUGCAGCCAGACGUGCCCGCAGUUGCUCACCUGGGGUUUUCCCCAGGGCACUCUUCUGCGGGCAGGCCAGCAUCAGUUUGGGCGGUUGGACAAAAGCCUGCUAAACGUACCUCCCUCCGGGGAGGACUUAUAGGGUAGGUGGCAUACAACCAGCCUAGACUGAGGACCGCGCAU